GAUGAACGCUGGCGGAGGGAAGAAUACAUGCAAGUCGAGCGAACAGACGAGGAGCUUGCUCCUCUGACGUUAGCGGCGGACGGGUGAGUAACACGUGGAUAACCUACCUGUAAGACUGGGAUAACUUCGGGAAACCGGAGCUAAUACCGGAUAAUAUAUUGAACCGCAUGGUUCAAUAGUGAAAGACGGUUUUGCUGUCACUUAUAGAUGGAUCCGCGCCGCAUUAGCUAGUUGGUAAGGUAACGGCUUACCAAGGCGACGAUGCGUAGCCGACCUGAGAGGGUGAUCGGCCACACUGGAACUGAGACACGGUCCAGACUCCUACGGGAGGCAGCAGUAGGGAAUCUUCCGCAAUGGGCGAAAGCCUGACGGAGCAACGCCGCGUGAGUGAUGAAGGUCUUCGGAUCGUAAAACUCUGUUAUUAGGGAAGAACAAAUGUGUAAGUAACUAUGCACGUCUUGACGGUACCUAAUCAGAAAGCCACGGCUAACUACGUG
This 497-nucleotide ribosomal RNA is filed under the name uncultured bacterium. Its description in RNAcentral is "partial 16S ribosomal RNA". It matches the Rfam family "Bacterial small subunit ribosomal RNA", at positions 28 to 507 of the family's 1533-position model. The record is from RNAcentral.